UACGUAGGGGGCGAGCGUUGUCCGGAAUUACUGGGCGUAAAGGGCGCGUAGGUGGUUCAUUAAGUUAGAGGUGAAAGUUCGGGGCUCAACCCCGUGAGGCCUCUGAUACUGGUGGACUUGAGUGCAGGAGAGGGGAGCAGAAUUCCCAGUGUAGCGGUGAAAUGCGUAGAUAUUGGGAGGAAUACCAGUGGCGAAGGCGGCUCUCUGGACUGUAACUGACACUGAGGCGCGAAAGCGUGGGGAGCAAACAGG
Molecule: ribosomal RNA, 252 nt
Filed under: uncultured prokaryote
Description: partial 16S ribosomal RNA
Rfam family: Bacterial small subunit ribosomal RNA
Source: RNAcentral